UACGAAGGGGGCUAGCGUUGUUCGGAAUUACUGGGCGUAAAGCGCACGUAGGCGGGUUGUUAAGUCAGGGGUGAAAUCCUGGAGCUCAACUCCAGAACUGCCUUUGAUACUGGCAACCUAGAGACUGGAAGAGGUUAGCGGAAUUCCCAGUGUAGAGGUGAAAUUCGUAGAUAUUGGGAAGAACACCAGUGGCGAAGGCGGCUAACUGGUCCAGCACUGACGCUGAGGUGCGAAAGCGUGGGGAGCAAACAGG
This 253-nucleotide ribosomal RNA is filed under the name uncultured bacterium. RNAcentral describes it as "partial 16S ribosomal RNA". It matches the Rfam family "Bacterial small subunit ribosomal RNA", at positions 524 to 776 of the family's 1533-position model. The record is from RNAcentral.